AAUCAACGCUGGCGGCGUGCCUCAGACAUGCAAGUCGAACGAUUAAAGCUCUCUUCGGAGAGUGCAUAAAGUGGCGCACGGGUGAGUAACACGUAAGUAAUCUACCUUCGAGUGGGGAAUAACGUCCGGAAACGGACGCUAAUACCGCAUAACGCAGCGGCAUCGCAAGAUGACAGUUGUUAAAGAUUUAUCGCUUGAAGAGGAGCUUGCGGCAGAUUAGCNGUUGGUAAGGUAACGGCUUACCAAGGCUACGAUCUGUAUCCGGUCUAAGAGGACGGUCGGACACACUGACACUGAAUAACGGGUCAGACUCCUACGGGAGGCAGCAGUCGGGAAUUUUGGGCAAUGGGGGAAACCCUGACCCAGCAACGCCGCGUGAA
RNAcentral lists this ribosomal RNA (380 nucleotides) under uncultured bacterium. Its description in RNAcentral is "bacterial SSU rRNA". It matches the Rfam family "Bacterial small subunit ribosomal RNA", at positions 32 to 405 of the family's 1533-position model. The record is from RNAcentral.